Seriola aureovittata is the source of this 1259-nucleotide long non-coding RNA. RefSeq lists it as uncharacterized. The transcript is spliced from 3 exons. The record is from RefSeq and is a predicted model, not a curated record. Lineage: Eukaryota; Metazoa; Chordata; Actinopteri; Carangiformes; Carangidae.
AUGCUGGAUCACCCACUGGAUAUUGUGGAUGGAAUAAUAGCAUUAAAUUCAAGAUGGGGAAUUUUCGUACAAAAAUGAGAAGAUCAGGAAUGGCCGAUGUCACAGUGAAUGGCAACAAGCGAAAGAGGGAUUUCCCAGAAGGAGCACCAUCAUGUAGUAACAUAAAAAGGGCAAAAAGAAGUGAAACAAAUUUCUUGCCAAAUUUUCCUAAUCGUGAAAAUGCAGAUUCGCUUGAGUCUGUUAGAAGACAACUUGAAAAUGAAGCAAAAAAGAGGCUUCCGGACUCAGCUGAUGUGAAGAAAAUGAUGGACCAGACAUUUUCUUUGCAACGCAAAGAAAUUGUGGAGGAACAGCCUCCAGUUAAAAGGAUGAUGGAACGCUGGCCUGUGCUGUUCACAGAAAGUCAGGUGUUUGCAGAGUUCUACAGAGUUGCCAGUAAGAACCUCAAAAAGACUUCUAUGAAGCUCUGGACCACCAUACCGCUCGUCUCAUUGACCUCUUCAAAUCCAGAAAAGGAGCUGUAGGCCGAUCACUUGAUCGCCUCCUCCAGUCAAUUAAUACACAAGUAAGUGUUGUUUCUGAUCUUCAUCAUUACCACCUUACAGUAGUGUGCUUGCAAGCGUCAAGUAGGCUUACAGCUGCUACAACAGUACAAGUAAUUCAUCAAUAAUGUUGGAACUCGAGCACACGUAUAUCCACAGAUUUUUUUUCUCAUAUUUUUCUUUCAUAUAUUCUUCUGCUUAUUGUUUUUUUUGUCAUCUUUUCCAUGAGACUGACAUCACCACAACACGCACUGCUGUCCUGCAAUGUCUGCCCCUGUAUCUUGGAGAUAAUUCCAGCGAAUUCUUCCUCAGUUGCUCAGAUUUGGACACUGCACAAGACUUCUCCCAGGUGCCUGUUGGGGUUCUUUGAGUCAUGACUGAUGUAACGCCACCAGUGAUUAACAGUAUUGCAAUCAUCCUUGAAGGAAACAUAGUCAUGGAUGAGGUUCCCACAACCUCUCUAGGACUUUGUCCUCUGUUCGGCUUGAUAUAUGCACUCCAUUUGGAUUACCCCAAAGGUAUUUGAUGUUUAAAAUGCAUUUGUUGUUUUUGGCAAAGAUGCUGGUUUGCGUUUUUCCUUUCAUUGCAGAAGGACAGCGGGGGAAAACUAUUUUGAAGGGACUCAGAAGCACUAAAAUGGACAGUUGUAUCGGAUCUGAACAUCACCAUCCGAUACAUCAUCAACACUACAAUAAAGAGUCGACGCUGCUGAGAAGC